CAGUUAUCGUUUAUUUGAUAGUACCUUACUACUUGGAUAACCGUGGUAAUUCUAGAGCUAAUACAUGCUGAAAACCUCGACUCCGGAAGGGGUGUAUUUAUUAGAUAAAAAGCCAAUGCCCUUCGGGGCUUUCUGGUGAUUCAUAAUAACUUAACGAAUCGCAUGGCCUUGCGCCGGCGAUGGUUCAUUCAAAUUUCUGCCCUAUCAACUUUCGAUUGUUGGGUAGUGGCCAACAAUGGUGUUUACGGGUAACGGGGAAUUAGGGUUCUAUUCCGGAGAGGGAGCCUGAGAAACGGCUACCACAUCCAAGGAAGGCAGCAGGCGCGCAAAUUAUCCAAUUCCGACACGGAGAGAUAGUGACAAUAAAUAUUAAUCCAGGGAUCUUUAGGUUCUUGGAAUUGAAAUGAGUACAAUUUAAAUCCCUUAACGAGGAACAAUUGGAGGGCAAGUCUGGUGCCAGCAGCCGCGGUAAUUCCAGCUCCAAUAGCGUAUAUUAAAUUUGUUGCAGUUAAAAAGCUCGUCGUUGAAACUUGGAUCUGGUCGGUCGGUCCGCCUCACCGCGUGCACUGAUUCGACCGGAUCUUUCCUUCUGGGGAAGCGCAUGCCCUUUAUUGGGCGUGUCGGGGAACCAGGACUUUUACUUUGAAAAAAUUAGAGUGUUCAAAGCAGGCCUAUGCUCGAAUACAUUAGCAUGGAAUAAUAGAAUAGGACGUGUGGUUCUAUUUUGUUGGUUUCUAGGACCGCCGUAAUGAU
RNAcentral lists this ribosomal RNA (753 nucleotides) under Icmadophila ericetorum (peppermint drop lichen). Its description in RNAcentral is "SSU rRNA". It matches the Rfam family "Eukaryotic small subunit ribosomal RNA", at positions 107 to 869 of the family's 1831-position model. The record is from RNAcentral. Lineage: Eukaryota; Fungi; Ascomycota; Lecanoromycetes; Pertusariales; Icmadophilaceae.